AUAGUGGUGGGUCAGUGGUAGAAUGCCCACCUUCUGUGUGGGAGACCUGAGUUCCAUUCCUAGCCAAUGCA
This 71-nucleotide transfer RNA is filed under the name Loxodonta africana (African savanna elephant). It matches the Rfam family "tRNA". Rfam says of the family: Transfer RNA (tRNA) molecules are approximately 80 nucleotides in length. Their secondary structure includes four short double-helical elements and three loops (D, anti-codon, and T loops). Lineage: Eukaryota; Metazoa; Chordata; Mammalia; Proboscidea; Elephantidae. The record is from Rfam by way of RNAcentral.